UGCCAUUGGCUCCAUGCCGGAUCCCGGGCGAAGGGACCAAUGGUAGGUGAGGAAACAGAGAUCCUAACCUCUCCGCGAUUCGUGCCGUUCGUGUGUUCACCGAGCGCGACGGCCGACGUUGGACUCGGCGCGCUCGUUUCUCUCGCCGGAGCGUUGCCUAGUCGGGUUUCACCACGUCCCGUUAAAUCCACCCGCCACCGUCCGUAGCUGCAUCAGGAAAUAUCUCAUAACUUCGAUAAUGAGAGGACCGAUUUGCGGAUGCCGGCGCGCGAAAAUAUUCAAAAAUACAAAAGGAAAAUAAAGCACGCUACAACCGCAAAAGAAAGGAACCUAAAAGAUUCCGCGAGGGAGAUUUAGUAGUCAUUAAGAGAACACAACGGGGACCGGCCUCAAAUUCGCUUCACAAUAUCUCGGACCAUAUGAAAUAAUUAGAGUUCUUCGGGGUGACCGCUACGUGGUACGUAAAAUAGGGGAACAUGAAGGGCCGGCUCAGACCUCGACAACGGUGGAUUGUUUGAAGCCGUGGUUCGAUUAUGAUAGCGAUGACGUACAUAACGAAGAGUCUGAUAACUGUAUAGGACCCGUCAGUAACGUAUUGAAAUUUACUUGUAAUCAAACAUUCGGGGCGAAUGUCGAUGCAGGAUGGCCGAGUGUAGGGAUUGGGUUUAGCGCGUUGCCUGGCAAGUGCGAGAGGUCGUGUCUGUUGACACCGUGCGAGCGAUCGGGCUGACGAGGAGGCGAGCGAGCACAAGAAACACGAUAGAUAAUUGUAACGACCUAACGAGUGAACUCGCGGAUGUGUGAUCGACGCGACAAUCUUUUGUGACUAAUAAAUCGAACACUUGUAUACAGU
Vollenhovia emeryi is the source of this 853-nucleotide long non-coding RNA. RefSeq lists it as uncharacterized. The record is from RefSeq and is a predicted model, not a curated record. Lineage: Eukaryota; Metazoa; Arthropoda; Insecta; Hymenoptera; Formicidae. The transcript has 2 exons.